UGACCAGUGCUGGGCUGGGGGAUGGGAUGAUGCCGAGUCAUCAUCUCCAUCAGGGGGUCCAUGCCUGAGCCUGUCUUCCUGCCAGUCCUAGGGACAGAGCCUCAGUCCUCAUCAUUCACCAGGCAGGAGAAGGAAGUGGAUCCAAACUCCUAGCUUAUGACUCAGCAGAGAUACAGCAUGGACCAGUUCCAUAGGCAUCGCCCACACCAGAACAUGAAUUGGACUUCUCAAAAACAUAUCCUACAUUCUCCAAAAUGAUCAUGAUCAUGGUGGCGAUGAGGAGAAAAGCCAUAAGGUCAUGAAAUUUUAUUGAGUGUUUCCUGUGACAGGCUUUGAGCAAUGUGCUAUGUAGAUUUUAAAUUUUCAUCUGUAUUAUCACCUCCCAAGCUACUGGUGC
RNAcentral lists this long non-coding RNA (397 nucleotides) under Equus asinus (donkey). RNAcentral describes it as "lncRNA (ENSEASG00005028023.1)". Lineage: Eukaryota; Metazoa; Chordata; Mammalia; Perissodactyla; Equidae. The record is from RNAcentral.